AUUCGCAGGAAGGGAGGCUAGUUCGAUUCGACAGAACAGGAAAGAUCAAGAGAGAUGGACAAGGAGUGGAAACGUCGUGAAACAGAAAGAGAGGACAUAAAGGAAAUAGGUGCAAGAGAGAUAAAUAAGUAGUGUCAAAGAAAACGCAGUUGGGGGUCUUUCGUUGAAUGCAGCACUCCUGACCUCAAUAUGUGGCCCCAAUAAUGAACGUAGACUUGAAGGUUUUAUUUAUUCUACGAGAAUCAAAACGCUGUUUCUAUGUUUCCAAGCAAAGAAAUUCGAACAAAUUCUUUAUUUAUUUA
Long non-coding RNA from Frieseomelitta varia, 302 nucleotides. RefSeq lists it as uncharacterized. The transcript is spliced from 2 exons. The record is from RefSeq and is a predicted model, not a curated record. NCBI's taxonomy places the organism in Eukaryota, Metazoa, Arthropoda, Insecta, Hymenoptera, Apidae.